AUUGAACGCUGGCGGCAUGCCUUACACAUGCAAGUCGAACGGCAGCACGGGAGCAAUCCUGGUGGCGAGUGGCGAACGGGUGAGUAAUAUAUCGGAACGUGCCCAGUCGUGGGGAUAACGUAGCGAAAGCUACGCUAAUACCGCAUACGAUCUAUGGAUGAAAGCGGGGGAUCGCAAGACCUCGCGCGAUUGGAGCGGCCGAUAUCAGAUUAGGUAGUUGGUGAGGUAAAGGCUCACCAAGCCGACGAUCUGUAGCUGGUCUGAGAGGACGACCAGCCACACUGGGACUGAGACACGGCCCAGACUCCUACGGGAGGCAGCAGUGGGGAAUUUUUGGACAAUGGGCGCAAGUCUGAUCCAGCAAUGCCGCGUGCAGGAUGAAGGCC
Molecule: ribosomal RNA, 386 nt
Filed under: uncultured bacterium
Lineage: Bacteria
Description: bacterial SSU rRNA
Rfam family: Bacterial small subunit ribosomal RNA
Source: RNAcentral